RNAcentral lists this long non-coding RNA (4549 nucleotides) under Prunus dulcis (almond). RNAcentral describes it as "sRNA ncRNA". Lineage: Eukaryota; Viridiplantae; Streptophyta; Magnoliopsida; Rosales; Rosaceae. The record is from RNAcentral.
UCUCAAACGAAAACUGCGGAUCAAAAUAUACCAGAGCCCCAAUUGCUCUGCUUCUAAUUUUGUUUCUAGACAACAGCACAAAAGAGGAGUGCAGAGAGCACAGAGCAGAGAGCGGAGAAGGAGCAAAAUAGAGAAAACCAGGUACAAGAAGCUAUUUGGAAGCCAAAACCUAAGACAACAGCUUGUGUUGUCUACACUCACCUUCACGCCCAUUCAAAUUCACGACAUACGAAACAACGAGACAUGGCCCGGUCUCCGCAUGUACGAGGUCGCCCUCCUCAAGUUGCUCGCUUUGGUCUGCCAUGGUUGUUCUUUCGAAAUCAACGACACUGGUACCCAGUAGCCCUCCCCAGACACUAAUUUUUUUUCAUACCUUAUAUUAUAUAGAUAUAUAUAUAUAUAUAUGUAUAGCUCUGAGUGCUGUUUUUGUUCUGUGUGUUUGGGUAGGCAAUGGAUUUAAGUUCAAGCCAGGGAUAGUGAUGGGUGGGUCGAAACUGGAACACGACUGUGAUGUUGAGCGGUCUAUUUGGUAUUUCUUGGAGCCCUUAAUUUUGCUUGGCCUCUUUGCCAGGAAACCCAUUACCAUUACGCUUAAAGGUAGCCACUUUUUUCACUGCUAAUUCUGAACCUUGUUGCUUCAUCAUUGCUAUGACUUUGAAAACUGCAUAUUUGUAACUAGUUCUAAACUUUGGCACUUGUUAAUGACAGAGUUUUAGUAAUAUUAAGAAUUCAGUUUGUUUGUUUUUUUAGCAAUCAGUUUGUUUGAACACUUACAAUUUUCCAAUGUAGAUGGGAUUUUAACAAUCGGUUCAGGGUUUAGGUACAUGCCGCUCGCGGAGUCUUUCAGCCCUUCCUUCCAGAUGUUCGCAUAUUUACUGACCAUAGAGUUGGCCCACAAACUGGAGUGUAUGUUUUCCAUCCAGAUAUUGUUAUAUUUCUCUAAUGUCAGGAUGUAUUUGAUGGAAUUUUGAAUGUGUUUUUUUUAGGCUUAUGCCAUUUAAGUACACUUCCACUCAUAUAGACAACAAUGACUUUAUGGCAGGUCACAUGGUUAUGGAACGUCACUAGUUGCAGAAACAACCUCUGGCUGCUAUAUCUCUGCUGAUACAACUAUUUCUCAUGCACGAGGGGAACAAAUAUCUGAAGUUGACUCUGAGAAGAAAGAGCUGGUGCCUCCAAAGGAUGUUGGUUUGAAAAUUGCUUCUGUUCUGCUUGGGGAGAUUGGGCAGGGCGGAGUGGUAGAUUCAAAUCUCCAGGUUAGUUAUUUUAUGUAUUGUGCUCCUUCCCUACCGACUUAAUUCUCGUACCUUCUCAUUUUUAUUGAUUUUAGAACCUUCACACCAUAGGACAGUAAUUAGGGAAGUGUACACUAAAACAGGAAAAUGAUUUCUAGAAAUGGAUGAAAUGAAGGGAAAAGUUGUCCUAGAUGGAAGAUUUGGCAAAAUUUUAGUCUGAGGAAGACCCCUGAAAUUCCUUUAUGAUUUUAUUAAGGCAUGUGCUAGAUAUACUUUUUCUAUUUCAGUAAUCACUCCCAUUUGUCAAAUGAAGAUAACAACAAUAAGGAGUUAUUGUUAACCUAAAAUGAUUAAUGAUCAUUGUUCAUGGUCUAUGUCUUUCCUCUUGCUAUCUAUGAAAAAAAAAAAAGUAUUGGAUUGAAAAUAUUAAAAUUGACACUUGUUACUCCAGCCAAACGGAUGCAACAACAUCUUAAACAACAAACAAGAACCUUGAGAAAGCAAUAUCCAAACGAAAAAGAUUUUGAAAUCCUAGCCAAAGUCUUCUGAAUCUGUCAAAUGAGGACAUAGAAGAGAUGCUGCUGUGAGGAUACCAGCCAAAUUUUUUCCAUAGUAACAAUCAAACAUAACCACUAAAAUAUGAAUUGUCUUUUAUUGUUUAUUCCACGCAGGGUGAUUUGGCACCAAUGGUGGAGCUAGGAUUUCACAUUAGAGGGGGCCUUUCACAAAAAAUUUAAAAAUAAUUCGAAUAGGAGUCCUCAAGCGCUAAACGGGUUAAUAAGUUAAUAAUAUUAUUUCAUCCUGAUUAAUAAUUUAUCCAUUUAUUACAACCAUAAUUGUCCUGAAUUUCAUAUUUUAACAUGGUUGAAUAUUAAUCUCAUCAUCUACACUAUUAAAGACCCAAAACUGAAUAAUUUAUACUUCAACAGAGAGAAGAAAUACAAAAAUUGAAAAUCCCAAUAUUAAGAUACCCUACUUAGACAUGUAAAAUGGGGGAAAGGGGAAUUCACAAAGCUUAAAUUAAUCAAAAGAGGAAGAGAAGAGGGAAAGAAAAAAAAGAGUUUUUACUCCAAGAAGCAAACAUAUAAGUAAAAAUAUGAGAAAAUAAAAAAAAUGAGAGAGGGCCUGGGCCCACCCUGGUCCUUAGGUGGCUCCGCCACACCACACUUUCUAUAAGAAAUGAAUUAUGAUUGCUAUAAAAAUGAAAUGUUAGAGUAGAAUAUAUUAUUUAAAUAUGGGUGCCUCUCACCUCCUCCCUUUUUAUGAUUUAUGUUUAUGUUCUGAUAGUGAGUUUGCUGCCAUCUGGGUUUGUAGGGUUUGUUGUUUCUUCUUUGUGCAUUAUGUCCCCAAGAUGUUUCAAAAGUUCAGAUCGGAAAGCUCUCUCCUUAUGGGAUAGAUACACUGAAAAACAUAAAUGAUUUUCUCGGAGUUAAAUUUGUCAUUAUGCCAUGCGCAUCCACAAGUACUGUUUUUCUCAAGUGUGUGGGCUGUGGUUUGAGGAAGCUAUCUAGAAAGAUUUCGUGAUAGUCACAAUACAAGGUAUAUGAUUUUCUAUAUAUCAAGCAGUAUGUUUCAUUAUGCUAAAGUAUUGUCAAAAGGCCUCCCAUGCAUCAAUCGUGGAAGAUUGCAACUUCAUGUCUGUGUACAUCUUUUGCUAUGUAACCCUGAAGCAAUCACAUAAACUCCAUUUAAGAAGUAGGAGUUGUUGCAAUUUUUAACACAUUAGUUCAGAUUUUGUCGAAUAUAUAUAGAGGUUAAUGUACAAAUUAGUAACACAUAGUCAACGUACACAUGCUUUCUUGGGUGCCUCUUUGUUUGGAAAGGAAGAAUUCAAUUUCAAGCCUCUCAUGGAAUCUUCGAUGAUAACGGUUUAGACUCGAGCACGAGUCUUUUCCAACCAGGGGAGUUUGAUGCAAGAGCAUCUACGAAGCUCUCUAAGAUUAGUUAAGCCUGUUAGUCAAUUGGGCUAGGGUUCUAGUUCCUUUAAAUUAAUAGUUACUUCUUUUGUUUUCCUUUUCUUACUAGGUUUUGUUUUAAUUUCCUGUUUAGAUUUUUAGACAGUCCUGCAUCAUGUAUUUCAGGAUGCGGUUUUGCUGGAUUUAAUGUUUGAUAUACUUUUGUGUUUAGCAACAUACCAACUUGAGACCACUAAAUCUCGACCCGUCACUGAUAAUUCCUCAACUUAGCUGCCUAGGUCUAACAGUGUUUGUUCAAGCCUUGGCGGAUGUAUCGAGCCACAUAACCCCAACAAUCUCCACACAUGCUGCUCACCCUCCAUGGCAUUCAUGGACCAAUCAGCCAAUGAUGUGCAUUGAUCCUUGCAACUCUACCUCCUAACCAUAAUUUUUUCAUGAGCUGGCACCACGUAGCUAGGCAUUAUAAACACCCCUAGGACUUAUUCAAGCUGCUCCACCUAUUGGAUCAAGAGAUCCACUAAGUCUCCUCUUUCACCAUGUGUCUUUUCAACCUUAAAAGAUUAUCACAUUAUGUGUGUCUUAGUCGAACUGUCGGCUCUGGUACCACUUACAAAGCAAUGAAACAAUAUGGGAUUGGUACUAAUCUCGAUCCAGCACUGGUAUGGUCCCCAACUUAGCCACCUCGGGCCAACUUAGGCGUAGGGUUUUAUCACAAAAGAAUGUCGUUUUAGUAGUAGUGGAUCACCCAACUUUACAUAUAUAUGUGUGUGUGUGUGUGUGUGUUGUAGAUUGUGUUAUCACCCUUUUUUUCUUUUUCUUUUUUUGGUACGAAUUUUCACCAUGCUUUUGUAGGAUUAUCUCCAUAUCCAUGGCUUCUAUCGAGCCACAUAACUCCAAGACUUUGAGUGUUAAUUAUUAUGUCAGUCAUCUAAUAAGUAAUAGCAUGAUGUUUCGCCAUAUCUGAUAACUGUAAUUUAUGUGCCAAGUUAUUGCAUGCGCUUCCCAUUAAUGCAUAUUUUUCUUUGUUCAGGCGGUGUUUGAGGAGGCAAUCUGCUAGGUUUAGGUCGCAGACAGAGAACUUAUGUGAGAUAGAGGAUGUCAAAUUUCCAGUCAGUCGCACACCAGACGAAUGCAUAAUAGUGGUCCCACUCCAUUGAUUUCAUCUACUAGUAAAGAAGAGAAAGAAGAUUAAUGUGCCCCAAGGCGAUCUUCAUUCGGAAGACCACCACGCAGAGCAGCUGAGAAGGUUCAGUCCUACAAAGAAGUUCCUCUCAAUGUAAAAUUGCGUGGAGUGAGCAUAAGGGAAGCACCUGAAUUUUGAGAAUACCAGUGAGUUUGAAAAGAGCUUGUAUAAUUCAAUAAAAUAAAAUAAAAAGGAACAAACAUAAAAGAGCUUGG